This is a small nuclear RNA of Suricata suricatta (meerkat), 107 nucleotides long. NCBI's taxonomy places the organism in Eukaryota, Metazoa, Chordata, Mammalia, Carnivora, Herpestidae. The record is from Ensembl.
UUGUGCUCACUUGGCCACAUAAGUACUAAAAUUAGAAUGAUAUAGAAAAGUUAGCAUGGCUCCUGCACAACGUUGACAUGUAAAUUUGUGAAGCGUUCCAUAAUUUU